GUCUAUGGCCAUGCCACCCUGAACAAGCCUGAUCCCGUCUGAUUUCAGAAGCUAAGCAGGGUCAGGCCUGGUUAGUACUUGGAUGGGAGACCACCUAGGAAGACCAGGUGCUGUAGGCG
Molecule: ribosomal RNA, 119 nt
Filed under: Pteropus alecto (black flying fox)
Lineage: Eukaryota; Metazoa; Chordata; Mammalia; Chiroptera; Pteropodidae
Source: RNAcentral